Molecule: long non-coding RNA, 218 nt
Organism: Sphaeramia orbicularis (orbiculate cardinalfish)
Lineage: Eukaryota; Metazoa; Chordata; Actinopteri; Kurtiformes; Apogonidae
Exons: 3
Source: RefSeq, a predicted model, not a curated record
AAUUGAGUGGAUUUUUACAAAAGGUUUUAAUUUGUUCUUAAUUUGUUGCAUCUAUAACUGGUUACGUCACGACAUUUGCACAUAUAAGGUAAAGAUUUCUCCUUGUAGGCCAUAAUUGUUCGUCAGCUGCAGCGGUUUUAGUCCGUACUGAAAAUAUGUCCAAACUUCGAGCCAAUUACCUAAAAUAUUCAGUUGUUGGUUAACUUUGAAUUAAUGAA